AUCUAUGACCAUAUGACUCUGAACUUACCUGAUCCUUUAUGUUCUCAGAGUCUAAGCAGGUUCAGUCUAGAAAGUAUUUGUUUGGGAGAGAGAAAGAAAGAGAGACAGACA
Molecule: ribosomal RNA, 111 nt
Filed under: Tupaia belangeri (northern tree shrew)
Lineage: Eukaryota; Metazoa; Chordata; Mammalia; Scandentia; Tupaiidae
Source: RNAcentral